GGGGAAUAUUGGACAAUGGGCGCAAGCCUGAUCCAGCCAUGCCGCGUGCAGGAAGAAGGCUUUCUGAGUUGUAAACUGCUUUUGCCAGAGGAUAAAAAGACCAUGCGUGGGAAAUUGAAGGUACCUGGUGAAUAAGCCACGGCUAACUACGUGCCAGCAGCCGCGGUAAUACGUAGGUGGCAAGCGUUGUCCGGAUUUAUUGGGUUUAAAGGGUGCGUAGGCGGUUUUAUAAGUCAGUGGUGAAAUCCGGCAGCUCAACUGUUGAUGUGCCAUUUAUACUGUAGGACUUGAGUUCAGUUUAGGUAGGCGGAAUUUACGGUGUAGCGGUGAAAUGCUUAGAUAUCGUCAAGAACAUCGAUAGCGAAGGCGGCUUACUAAGCAGUAGCUGACGCUGAGGCACGAAAGUGUGGGGAUCAAACA
RNAcentral lists this ribosomal RNA (420 nucleotides) under uncultured bacterium. Its description in RNAcentral is "bacterial SSU rRNA". It matches the Rfam family "Bacterial small subunit ribosomal RNA", at positions 356 to 774 of the family's 1533-position model. The record is from RNAcentral.